Molecule: unclassified non-coding RNA, 292 nt
Filed under: fungal sp.
Lineage: Eukaryota; Fungi
Description: partial internal transcribed spacer region
Rfam family: Eukaryotic small subunit ribosomal RNA (bases 1-46)
Source: RNAcentral
AAGUCGUAACAAGGUUUCCGUAGGUGAACCUGCGGAAGGAUCAUUAACGAAUGUUUCUUCAUUCAAUGUAUGUGAACUUCGGAUCUGCACGACAUAGUUGAAGAAUGCCAGACUGGCUCAUUUAGAGUUUGUUGAAGCUUUGAAACUGUGCGGAUCCACUGAAGAUUGAUGGACUUUGAGCCAUCAGUCGACUAACUAACCAUCAACGAUCAUGAACUUUGACAGACACUUUGAAUUCAAGUGUUUAAACUUAAUUCAGAGACAACUUUUAGCAAUGGAUCUCUAGGCUCUC